UGGGGAAUAUUGGACAAUGGGCGAAAGCCUGAUCCAGCCAUGCCGCGUGUGUGAAGAAGGUCUCCGGAUUGUAAAGCACUUUAAGUUGGGAGGAAGGGCAGUAAGCGAAUACCUUGCUGUUUUGACGUUACCGACAGAAUAAGCACCGGCUAACUCUGUGCCAGCAGCCGCGGUAAUACAGAGGGUGCUAGCGUUAAUCGGAAUUACUGGGCGUAAAGCGCGCGUAGGUGGUUCGUUAAGUUGAAUGUGAAAGCCCCUGGCUCAACCUGGGACCUGCAUCCAAAACUGGCGGGCUAGAGUAGGGCAGAGGGUGGUGGAAUUUCCUGUGUAGCGGUGAAAUGCGUAGAUAUAGGAAGGAACACCAGUGGCGAAGGCGACCACCUGGGCUCAUACUGACACUGAAGUGCGAAAGCGUGGGGAGCAAACAGG
This 429-nucleotide ribosomal RNA is filed under the name Pseudomonadota bacterium. RNAcentral describes it as "Proteobacteria bacterium partial 16S ribosomal RNA". It matches the Rfam family "Bacterial small subunit ribosomal RNA", at positions 355 to 776 of the family's 1533-position model. The record is from RNAcentral. Lineage: Bacteria; Pseudomonadati; Pseudomonadota.